AAAUUGAAGAGUUUGAUCAUGGCUCAGAUUGAACGCUGGCGGCAGGCCUAACACAUGCAAGUCGAACGGUAACAGGAAACAGCUUGCUGUUUCGCUGACGAGUGGCGGACGGGUGAGUAAUGUCUGGGAAACUGCCUGAUGGAGGGGGAUAACUACUGGAAACGGUAGCUAAUACCGCAUAACGUCGCAAGACCAAAGAGGGGGACCCUCGGGCCUCUUGCCAUCGGAUGUGCCCAGAUGGGAUUAGC
This 248-nucleotide ribosomal RNA is filed under the name Escherichia coli. Its description in RNAcentral is "partial 16S ribosomal RNA". It matches the Rfam family "Bacterial small subunit ribosomal RNA", at positions 1 to 245 of the family's 1533-position model. Lineage: Bacteria; Pseudomonadati; Pseudomonadota; Gammaproteobacteria; Enterobacterales; Enterobacteriaceae. The record is from RNAcentral.